This 555-nucleotide ribosomal RNA is filed under the name uncultured bacterium. RNAcentral's name for it is "partial 16S ribosomal RNA". It matches the Rfam family "Bacterial small subunit ribosomal RNA", at positions 355 to 896 of the family's 1533-position model. The record is from RNAcentral.
UGGGGAAUUUUGGACAAUGGGCGCAAGCCUGAUCCAGCCAUGCCGCGUGCGGGAAGAAGGCCUUCGGGUUGUAAACCGCUUUUGUCAGGGAAGAAAUCUUCUGAGUUAAUACCUCGGGAGGAUGACGGUACCUGAAGAAUAAGCACCGGCUAACUACGUGCCAGCAGCCGCGGUAAUACGUAGGGUGCAAGCGUUAAUCGGAAUUACUGGGCGUAAAGCGUGCGCAGGCGGUUUUGUAAGACAGAGGUGAAAUCCCCGGGCUCAACCUGGGAACUGCCUUUGUGACUGCAAGGCUUGAGUGCGGCAGAGGGGGGAUGGAAUUCCGCGUGUAGCAGUGAAAUGCGUAGAUAUGCGGAGGAAACACCGAUGGGCGAAAGGCAAUCCCCCUGGGGCCUGCACUGACGCUCAUGCACGAAACGUGGGGAGCAAAACAGGAUUAGAUACCCUGGUAGUCCACGCCCUAAAACGAUGUCAACUGGUUGUUGGGAAGGUUCCUUCUCAGUAACGUAGCUAACGCGUGAAGUUGACCGCCUGGGGAGUACGGCCGCAAGGUUG